RNAcentral lists this ribosomal RNA (583 nucleotides) under uncultured bacterium. RNAcentral describes it as "partial 16S ribosomal RNA". It matches the Rfam family "Bacterial small subunit ribosomal RNA", at positions 355 to 1375 of the family's 1533-position model. The record is from RNAcentral.
UGGGGAAUUUUGGACAAUGGGCGAAAGCCUGAUCCAGCAAUGCCGCGUGUGUGAAGAAGGCCUUCGGGUUGUAAAGCACUUUUGUCCGGAAAGAAAUCCUUGGCUCUAAUACAGUCGGGGGGAUGACGGUACCGGAAGAAUAAGCACCGGCUAACUACGUGCCAGCAGCCGCGGUAAUACGUAGGGUGCAAGCGUUAAUCGGAAUUACUGGGCGUAAGCGUGCGCAGGCGGUUUGCUAAGACCGAUGUGAAAUCCCCGGGCUCAACCUGGGAACUGCAUUGGUGACUGGCAGGCUAGAGUAUGGCAGAGGGGGGUAGAAUUCCACGUGUAGCAGUGAAAUGCGUAGAGAUGUGGAGGAAUACCGAUGGCGAAGGCAGCCCCCUGGGCCAAUACUGACGCUCAUGCACGAAAGCGUGGGGAGCAAACAGGAUUAGAUACCCUGGUAGUCCACGCCCUAAACGAUGUCAACUAGUUGUGGGGAUUCAUUCCUUAGUAACGUAGCUAACGCGUGAAGUUGACCGCCUGGGGAGUACGGUCGCAAGAUUAAAACUUAAAUGAAUUGACGGGGUCAUAGCUGUUUCCU